GACGAACGCUGGCGGCGUGCCUAAUACAUGCAAGUAGAACGCUGAAGGAGGAGCUUGCUCUUCUGGAUGAGUUGCGAACGGGUGAGUAACGCGUAGGUAACCUGCCUGGUAGCGGGGGAUAACUAUUGGAAACGAUAGCUAAUACCGCAUAAGAGUAGAUGUUGCAUGACAUUUGCUUAAAAGGUGCAAUUGCAUCACUACCAGAUGGACCUGCGUUGUAUUAGCUAGUUGGUGGGGUGACGGCUCACCAAGGCGACGAUACAUAGCCGACCUGAGAGGGUGAUCGGCCACACUGGGACUGAGACACGGCCCAGACUCCUACGGGAGGCAGCAGUAGGGAAUCUUCGGCAAUGGACGGAAGUCUGACCGAGCAACGCCGCGUGAGUGAAGAAGGUUUUCGGAUCGUAAAGCUCUGUUGUAAGAGAAGAACGAGUGUGAGAGUGGAAAGUUCACACUGUGACGGUAUCUUACCAGAAAGGGACGGCUAACUACGUG
RNAcentral lists this ribosomal RNA (495 nucleotides) under uncultured bacterium. Its description in RNAcentral is "partial 16S ribosomal RNA". It matches the Rfam family "Bacterial small subunit ribosomal RNA", at positions 28 to 507 of the family's 1533-position model. The record is from RNAcentral.